UACGGAGGGUGCGAGCGUUGUCCGGAAUCACUGGGCGUAAAGGGCGCGUAGGUGGCGCGGGCAGUCAACGGUGAAAGUUCGGGGCUCAACCCUGAAUCGGCCGUCGAUACUCCCGGGCUUGAGCACUGUAGAGGCAGAUGGAAUUCCGGGUGUAGCGGUGGAAUGCGUAGAGAUCCGGAAGAACACCGGUGGCGAAGGCGGUCUGCUGGCGAGUGAGCUGACACUGAGGCGCGACAGCGUGGGGAGCAAACAGG
This 254-nucleotide ribosomal RNA is filed under the name uncultured bacterium. Its description in RNAcentral is "partial 16S ribosomal RNA". It matches the Rfam family "Bacterial small subunit ribosomal RNA", at positions 524 to 776 of the family's 1533-position model. The record is from RNAcentral.